AUUAGAGUUUGAUCCUGGCUCAGAUUGAACGCUGGCGGAAUGCUUUACACAUGCAAGUCGAGCGGCAGCGCGGGGCAACCUGGCGGCGAGCGGCGAACGGGUGAGUAAUGCAUCGGAACAUGUCCAUGUCGUGGGGGAUAGCCCGGCGAAAGCCGGAUUAAUACCGCAUACGCCCGAGAGGGGAAAGUGGGGGACCGCAAGGCCUCACGCGAUUGGGUUGGCCGAUGUCCGAUUAGCUAGUUGGCGGGGUAAGAGCCCACCAAGGCGAUGAUCGGUAGCUGGUCUGAGAGGAUGAUCAGCCACACUGGGACUGAGACACGGCCCAGACUCCUACGGGAGGCAGCAGUGGGGAAUUUUGGACAAUGGGGGAAACCCUGAUCCAGCCAUUCCGCGUGAGUGAAGAAGGCCUUCGGGUUGUAAAGCUCUUUUGUCCGGAGCGAAACGGCGAGCGUGAACAUCGCUCGCUACUGACGGUACCGGAAGAAUAAGCACCGGCUAACUACGUGCCAGCAGCCGCGGUAAUACGUAGGGUGCGAGCGUUAAUCGGAAUUACUGGGCGUAAAGCGUGCGCAGGCGGUUUUGUAAGCCAGAUGUGAAAUCCCCGGGCUUAACCUGGGAAUGGCAUUUGGGACUGCAAGGCUGGAGUGCGGCAGAGGAGACUGGAAUUCCUGGUGUAGCAGUGAAAUGCGUAGAUAUCAGGAGGAAUACCGAUGGCGAAGGCAGGUCUCUGGGCUGACACUGACGCUCAUGCACGAAAGCGUGGGGGAGCAAACAGGAUUAGAUACCCUGGUAGUCCACGCCCUAAACGAUGUCGACUGGUUGUUGGGGGUUUGACACUCUCAGUAACGAAGCUAACGCGUGAAGUCGACCGCCUGGGGAGUACGGCCGCAAGGUUAAAACUCAAAGGAAUUGACGGGGACCCGCACAAGCGGUGGAUUAUGUGGAUUAAUUCGAUGCAACGCGAAAAACCUUACCUACCCUUGACAUGUCCUGGAGGCCCCUGAGAGGGGGCUGUGCCCGAAAGGGAACGGGAACACAGGUGCUGCAUGGCUGUCGUCAGCUCGUGUCGUGAGAUGUUGGGUUAAGUCCCGCAACGAGCGCAACCCUUGUCAUUAGUUGCUACAUUCAGUUGGGCACUCUAAUGAGACUGCCGGUGACAAACCGGAGGAAGGUGGGGAUGACGUCAAGUCCUCAUGGCCCUUAUGGGUAGGGCUUCACACGUAAUACAAUGGCGCGUACAGAGGGUUGCCAAGGGGUGACCUGGAGCCAAUCCCGCAAAGCGCGUCGUAGUCCGGAUUGCAGUCUGCAACUCGACUGCAUGAAGUCGGAAUCGCUAGUAAUCGCGGAUCAGCAUGUCGCGGUGAAUACGUUCCCGGGUCUUGUACACACCGCCCGUCACACCAUGGGAGUGGGUUCCACCAGAAGCCGGUCGCUUAACCGCAAGGAUGGCGCCGACCACGGUGAGAUUCAUGACUGGGGUGAAGUCGUAACAAGGUAGCCGUAAAU
This 1506-nucleotide ribosomal RNA is filed under the name uncultured Burkholderia sp. Its description in RNAcentral is "bacterial SSU rRNA". It matches the Rfam family "Bacterial small subunit ribosomal RNA". Lineage: Bacteria; Pseudomonadati; Pseudomonadota; Betaproteobacteria; Burkholderiales; Burkholderiaceae. The record is from RNAcentral.